This is a long non-coding RNA of Hyaena hyaena (striped hyena), 510 nucleotides long. RefSeq lists it as uncharacterized. Lineage: Eukaryota; Metazoa; Chordata; Mammalia; Carnivora; Hyaenidae. The record is from RefSeq and is a predicted model, not a curated record. The transcript is spliced from 3 exons.
CCUGACAGCCACCCAGGCCCUGUUGACAAACGUGUUCUUUAUAACGACCCGUCGUUGGAGUCGAGUGUCGCUGCCCCUGGACAGACGGCUGGAAACCGCAGAAAGAAGCGCAAUAGUGGUUAAUUUAUGUGCCCUUCAACGUCCUGCCUCUGAGCUGUGAUCCCUGGCCAGCAGAAUCCACAUCACUUGGAAGGUGACGAAAAAUGGCACAACUCCUGCUCCACCGACCCACCAGGUCAGACUCUGCAGCUGAGAGCCCCAGGUGUAUUUUCAUGAAAGGAUGACCCCGUCACCAACACCUGGGAAGCUGUGAGCAGUGCAGGUGCUGGGGCCCAGCAGUGUCCUGAUGAGCACCCUGCGGUCCUCCUGUCCGAAGUCUGAGAACCCCUGAACGAGGUACCGAAGGCACAGAUAGGGCUGAGCCACACCCCCUCCGUCUGGUCGAGAGGGUGAUGCAGACCUGUGUAGAUACAGGCAUCACAGGUGGAUUCGAAGCAAGAUGUGGUGAAC